This is a long non-coding RNA of Oryctolagus cuniculus (rabbit), 1623 nucleotides long. The record is from Ensembl. NCBI's taxonomy places the organism in Eukaryota, Metazoa, Chordata, Mammalia, Lagomorpha, Leporidae.
CCUGGUGUUGGAAAUCCCCACAGAAUUCAUGCCCCAAAGCCGUGGUUAUCAUCUCGAUGUCGCAUAGGAGGAAAUGAAGGCCGAGGACUCCAGAGAUUCGUCCAAGCUCAAGGUCAACCAGUGACAAAGUCGGAGCUGAACCCAGAUCCCAUGCUGGGUGGUGGGAAGAGUGAUUUGGCUUUGACGGCUCUAGUACAGGACGGCUUGCUCUGCCACCUGCCACCCUCCAUCGAAUCCCCUCCGAGGGUCCUCCCAGGACUGCUCCUCCACCCCUAACUAAUGUCCUAAUACUGGGCCUCUGCCUCAUCAGCGUUCCCUGCCACCCGACACUCUGGGUGCGGCACCAUUUUAAUGCACGGCUCCUGUCUUUCAGGAGCCCUUGCUUGGUUGAAGCAAUCAGACCACUCACACACAGAAAGGGAUCCCACAGAGCAGAACGCAGGAAGCGCUCCUGGACCUCCUGGGCUUUACAGUUGCAGCUACACAUGCUGCUUCCUGAGCAUUCCUUUAGGUCAAAACAGGCAACAUUUGUUUGCCUUCGCCUGGAAAGUCAACAGCAUCCCUGGACUUGCUCCCCAGAGUUACAGGGGCUCCUCCUGCUUUUCACAAGUCUGGGAACGCAGCCUCAAGGUCAUUACGUUUCCUUUCAUUCUGCUCCUGUUUGACGCACGGAGGACCUGCUGUUGGGUCCCUACGACCGAUUCCAGCUCCUGUUUGCUCUCAGCCAGGGCCUGCGGUUUUCAGAGGAGUUACCAUUUUGCCAAAAUAAAGUUCAUUCUGCAGGACAGGACUGAGUCGGGGCUGUAAAUCCUCGUGGCAGCUGCAGGCCAUCCAAAACUUUCCCGGUUAUUCCUCAGACCGUGAAGCUGAGGCCUCGCUCCAGCAGGAAGGGGGCUGGCGGCUCUCCGGUGACCACACACACUGCUAACCGCGUGCAGACCUGUCCCUUGGGAAUCUGAACACGAGGGGACUCUGAGUUAAGCAAGCCCCUCAGCGACCUGCUCUCUGGCCUUACCAAAUCACCAUAGACCAUUCGACCACAAAGUUCAGGAAAACGCACAUGAUAAACAACUCGGCAUGGAUUUCAAAAACUGUUUUUUUUUUUUUUGCACCAAAAUAGACUUUUUAAAAUUCCAUUUCCCUGCAAACUUUGUGAAGUCCCCUUGUACAUGGGAAACAUGGAGAAACCUUUGAUGUGAUGACUUGAUUUCAUGGUGAUGGAAACCAGGAUAUGUCACCUCAAAAUAUGCCUGUUGGACACAAAAAUUAUUUUUGAGCUACAGGCACUUAAAAAGCAGCAAAUGGAGGGAAACACUCUCUCAUCCUUUUUUUUUUUUUUUUCGCCCCAAGAUGGGUCGGAAUCCUCCUGUGCUGGACGCAGCUCUUACCAGGCCAGCCAGAGGCAGCAGCAGAGGAGCCUGCAAACCAACCCACUCCACUGGUGUGGGCAUUAGCUGGUGCACGUGCUCCCACGUGCUCACCUCCCCUCGGUUUCCCUCCUCUUUCUGCACAUUUGUUGCUCCUGGUUGAAGACGCUGUCUGAACCAGAGUUCUAAGCCCCUGCCUGGAGUUUUGUUCGCUGAGGCUUCUCUCGCAUGAUAUACACGGAAUGCAUGGAUAAAC